AGGUGUUUAACUCAGAGGAAAGAGUAACGCUAUUACAAGGCGUAAGCCGGGAGUUCGAUUCUCUCAACACCUA
Candidatus Nasuia deltocephalinicola str. NAS-ALF is the source of this 73-nucleotide transfer RNA. It matches the Rfam family "tRNA". Rfam says of the family: Transfer RNA (tRNA) molecules are approximately 80 nucleotides in length. Their secondary structure includes four short double-helical elements and three loops (D, anti-codon, and T loops). NCBI's taxonomy places the organism in Bacteria, Pseudomonadati, Pseudomonadota, Betaproteobacteria. The record is from Rfam.